CCCCGAGAGAAAGAGGCGGCGUCCACCCGGCAGAUUUAUGGAGGAAACAGAGUAACCUAGAAGUGAGAAGGGAUCAGAUGUAAAAGGAAAAGAAGAUGGGGUAAGAGUGGACGGCGUGCUAAGGGCGUCAGGAUAAUCAUUACCUUCAAGACCAAAAAUCCGGUCUCCCAGUGCAUCCACAAUGUCUGUCAGGGCGGCCUCAUCUGUGACGUUGAAGAAGAAUCGCUCGUCUGGAUCACUAGCGAUGUCUCUGAUUUCCCGAAGAAAAGAGCUAGGGUCUCUCUGUCGCCGGAGAUAGUGACCAAGGACCUGAGUUCAAGAUGGGGGUCUAUUAGCUGUGUGAAAUCCAGAGUCUAUUCUUGGUCUGGGAAAAUAACUCAGUGAGUAGAGUGCUCGCCACGUGAGCCUGACAGCCUGAGUUCAGAUCCCCAGACCCCAUAAAAUCAUAAAAUGCUGGACGGUAGCACAAGCUUUAUCUGCAAUCCUAGCAGGCUCCACCAGGAGACAGGAAGCUGAGUCAGAAGACUGGCCCAAACCUGUGGGCCAGCUGGCCUGGCCUAUUGCAUACAGCUGAACAAGAGACCCAGUCUCAAACAAGGUGGAAGCCUCACAGGCCUUUAGUGCUGCUGGAAGGUCCUCUCCAUCGUGGGAUUCUCCAUCAGUGACAACCACCAGCAGCCUGGCAGCCUCGGGUCUG
Molecule: long non-coding RNA, 697 nt
Organism: Peromyscus leucopus (white-footed mouse)
Lineage: Eukaryota; Metazoa; Chordata; Mammalia; Rodentia; Cricetidae
Exons: 4
Source: RefSeq, a predicted model, not a curated record